RNAcentral lists this ribosomal RNA (292 nucleotides) under uncultured bacterium. RNAcentral describes it as "partial 16S ribosomal RNA". It matches the Rfam family "Archaeal small subunit ribosomal RNA", at positions 455 to 747 of the family's 1478-position model. The record is from RNAcentral.
GUGCCAGCAGCCGCGGUAAUACCAGCACCCCGAGUGGUCGGGACGAUUAUUGGGCCUAAAGCAUCCGUAGCCGGUUCUGCAAGUCCUCCGUUAAAUCCAACUGCUUAACAGAUGGGCCGCGGAGGAUACUACAGAGCUAGGAGGCAGGAGAGGCAAGCGGUACUCAGUGGGUAGGGGUAAAAUCCGUUGAUCCAUUGAAGACCACCAGUGGCGAAGGCGGCUUGCCAGAAUGCGCUCGACGGUGAGGGAUGAAAGCUGGGGGAGCAAACCGGAUUAGAUACCCCCGUAGUCC